This 670-nucleotide long non-coding RNA is filed under the name Serinus canaria (Common canary). RNAcentral's name for it is "lncRNA (ENSSCAG00000000360.1)". The record is from RNAcentral. Lineage: Eukaryota; Metazoa; Chordata; Aves; Passeriformes; Fringillidae.
AGCACGUCGUGUGUGCCCAUCAAAGAGACGUGUUCUGUGCAGUCUAGCCAGCACAUUGAUGGGGUUCCUUCCUCUCCACAUCUGGGUAUCAGAGGUGGUGACCCACAUCCAGAAGAGAACAUCCACUGCCCGGGAUGGGCACAAGGAGAAGGAUCACCUCUGUCCUGCUGAAAUGUCUCCCUGGGGUUCUUACGUCCAAAUUUACAGCUGUCUUGGAAGAUUUGCACCCAGGAGAGAGAAAGUGGACAAGGGAAUUACCUUUCACCCAUGAUGGACAUAACAGCAAAGAGAGGACCAAAGGUUGCUUGGGCACAAGCAGGAGGUGGCCUGCAGAACCUUACCUUGUGGAGUGCUGACUGUGAGCUGAAGACAACCCUGAGCAGAAGCACAGGCGGGAGGGACCUUCUGAAAUGGCCAUCUACCCUGUGCAUGCAGCACAAAGGCAACCAAUUCCUCAUCUCUCCAGCCUAUAAAUCUUUGUUGACCAUCUCUGUGCUUGUCUCUAGAAGAACAUUUGAUCUAAUAGCCUUUUUAAAAAUUUCCCUUAAUUUUCCAGCAUAACCCCCCAGUGAAUCAUUAAUGUAACAAGAUAAAGAUCUCCAGCUAAGGAAUUAUUCUUAUUACAAAGUUCCCAAGUUCUAGUAGCAAACCUCUCCAGGGUAUAUAUUAA